This 402-nucleotide ribosomal RNA is filed under the name uncultured bacterium. RNAcentral's name for it is "partial 16S ribosomal RNA". It matches the Rfam family "Bacterial small subunit ribosomal RNA", at positions 355 to 774 of the family's 1533-position model. The record is from RNAcentral. RNAcentral also lists the same sequence under 1 other name.
UGGGGAAUCUUAGACAAUGGGCGCAAGCCUGAUCUAGCCAUGCCGCGUGAUCGAUGAAGGCCUUAGGGUUGUAAAGAUCUUUCGUGGGGGAAGAUAAUGACGGUACCCCAAGAAGAAGCCCCGGCUAACUCCGUGCCAGCAGCCGCGGUAAUACGGAGGGGGCUAGCGUUAUUCGGAAUUACUGGGCGUAAAGCGCACGUAGGCGGAUUGGAAAGUCAGAGGUGAAAUCCCAGAGCUCAACUUUGGAACUGCCUUUGAAACUCCCAGUCUUGAGGUCGUGAGAGGUGAGUGGAAUUCCGAGUGUAGAGGUGAAAUUCGUAGAUAUUCGGAGGAACACCAGUGGCGAAGGCGGCUCACUGGCACGAUACUGACGCUGAGGUGCGAAAGCGUGGGGAGCAAACA